Molecule: ribosomal RNA, 788 nt
Filed under: actinobacterium DST101
Lineage: Bacteria; Bacillati; Actinomycetota; Actinomycetes
Description: bacterial SSU rRNA
Rfam family: Bacterial small subunit ribosomal RNA
Source: RNAcentral
CGAUGAAGCCUUUCGGGGUGGAUUAGUGGCGAACGGGUGAGUAACACGUGGGCAAUCUGCCCUUCACUCUGGGACAAGCCCUGGAAACGGGGUCUAAUACCGGAUAACACUCUGUCCUGCAUGGGACGGGGUUAAAAGCUCCGGCGGUGAAGGAUGAGCCCGCGGCCUAUCAGCUUGUUGGUGGGGUAAUGGCCUACCAAGGCGACGACGGGUAGCCGGCCUGAGAGGGCGACCGGCCACACUGGGACUGAGACACGGCCCAGACUCCUACGGGAGGCAGCAGUGGGGAAUAUUGCACAAUGGGCGAAAGCCUGAUGCAGCGACGCCGCGUGAGGGAUGACGGCCUUCGGGUUGUAAACCUCUUUCAGCAGGGAAGAAGCGAAAGUGACGGUACCUGCAGAAGAAGCGCCGGCUAACUACGUGCCAGCAGCCGCGGUAAUACGUAGGGCGCAAGCGUUGUCCGGAAUUAUUGGGCGUAAAGAGCUCGUAGGCGGCUUGUCACGUCGGAUGUGAAAGCCCGGGGCUUAACCCCGGGUCUGCAUUCGAUACGGGCUAGCUAGAGUGUGGUAGGGGAGAUCGGAAUUCCUGGUGUAGCGGUGAAAUGCGCAGAUAUCAGGAGGAACACCGGUGGCGAAGGCGGAUCUCUGGGCCAUUACUGACGCUGAGGAGCGAAAGCGUGGGGAGCGAACAGGAUUAGAUACCCUGGUAGUCCACGCCGUAAACGUUGGGAACUAGUGUUGGCGACAUUCCACGUCGUCGGUGCCGCAGCUAACGCAUUAAGUUCCCCG